UAGUUAUAUACAAAAGAAGCAGUACAAAAAAUGAGAGAUUUUACGGCGGCUGUGAACCGCCACAAUUGGAAACAUAGAAUGGCGUUUUUAGACACGCCACAUUAAGCUUUUAAAUUACGGCGGUUGAUGUCGAUUGCGGUGGUUUUAAACCGCCGUUAUGUUUGAUUAUUAUUUUUUUAACAUAUUUUCAUCAACUUGUUCAGACCAAAAAAUUUCUCUCAACAAAUUUUUAGACUCCCUCCGCCGCUCUGACCAAAAAUUAGAACUCCUUCACUCCUCCCAAAUAAACCUUAGUCUUGCAAUUUCCUCUCUCCCUCUCCCUUUUAUCGAUAUGGCGCAGAUCGUCGGUCGCCGUAGCUUGCGACUCCCUCGUCUCACCAAGGAUCUCGAUUGGAAAACGCCGCUAGUCUCCAAUAAAGUUUCGGAGGAGUUCAGCAACCUCCAUCUCCAAACAAAUUUCAGCGAGUGAAUUGGAAAGGGAUUUUGACGAAGCUAUCAAUUUUGUGGAUGAAGGAAAAGGGAAGGCUGGCGGAUUGGAGAAUUGGGGGCGUGAAUUGUUGAUGCAGUUAUUUGGUUGUGAUGGCAGGGAAACUUGCCUUGUACCUCAACCAAUGGCAUUGAAAGUAUCUGCUCGCGUGGAAUACAUGGCAAGGACCCGGGAGCAUGAUCCGGGAGGAGGCUAUGGAGCAGUACAUUAAGCUAAUCUCAGAAAAUGUUCCAAGAUGGAAUAAGGCACAUAUAUCAGAACUAUGCCACAUCGCAUAGCAUCCCAAAAAGGAUGUAACAUACUAUUAGUCGGCAUUAUUUCUAGGAUUUAUUGUAGAUAUUUCCCUUAUUAUAGUAAAUGGAUGUAAAAUACUGUUGUCAAAAUUCUAAUACAUUUUAUGGUGUAUUUUGAAGUGCUUAUAUUUUUAUA
Nicotiana tabacum (common tobacco) is the source of this 916-nucleotide long non-coding RNA. RefSeq lists it as uncharacterized. Lineage: Eukaryota; Viridiplantae; Streptophyta; Magnoliopsida; Solanales; Solanaceae. The record is from RefSeq and is a predicted model, not a curated record.